Molecule: unclassified non-coding RNA, 1038 nt
Filed under: Hevea brasiliensis (rubber tree)
Lineage: Eukaryota; Viridiplantae; Streptophyta; Magnoliopsida; Malpighiales; Euphorbiaceae
Source: RNAcentral
GUAGUUGAAGAUCUUUGCUUAGAAGAGGGUAAAAAAAGAGAACAUGAAACAGAAUUUGUCCGACAAAGCUACGAUUCUAUCUUGAGAAAGCGACGAGAACAACUCAUAGAUAGUGACAAUGAUACUACAAUUAUCAGCAAUAGGCCUGAGUUGGAUGCUAUAUCAAAUGUUCUUAAAGAAGCAGAAUCUCUCAAUGUAAAUCAAUUUGGAUUUGACGAAACUUACGGUGGUGGAACGUCUCAAUUUUGUGACUUGGAGUCUGGCGAAGAGGAUGAUUGGAGACUGAAGGACUACCUUCAUCAGGUGGACUCUAGUGUGGAAGUUGCAAUACAGAGACAGAAGGAACAUAUCUCCAUUGAGCUUAGCAAAAUUGAUGCACGAAUUAUGAGGGUGGUUACCGGGAUGCAGCAGUUGGAGUCGAAGCUUGAGCCGGCUUCUUCCCAGGAUUACCGGCGAAUUUUAGUGCCUCUAUUGAAAUCAUUUCUGCGGGCACACUUGGAGGACCUGGCCGAGAAGGAUGCUACCGAGAAAUCUGAUGCCACAAGGGAAGCUUUUCUGGCUGAACUUGCACGUGAUUCCGAAAAGAGUUCAAGUUGGGGAAAUGAGAAGUCUAAACAUGCCCAUGAAAAGACAAAGGACAAGAAAAAGAAACAAGAGUAUCGAAAAGCAAAAGAUUCAAAGCCUAACAGUGGUAAUGAAUUGCAUGUGCUUCACCAUGAGACUGUGGAUCAUGUCUCAUCUCCACUUGCUCAUGAUGGAGAUGAUCAAGAGAGUGAAAUUCCUCAAACUGGUAAUUCCUUAGAUCUACAGGAAGAGGAGUACAAACGUAUGAUUGAGCUUGAAGCCGAGGAAAGGAAGCUAGAAGAAACUUUAGAGUAUCAAAGAAGAAUUGAGAAUGAGGCUAAGCUGAAACAUUUGGCUGAGCAACAUAAGAGAACUGUAAGAGCAGUUCAAGAGAAUAUGGAUGCAGUUACAAAUCCUGAGUCCUACCCGUAUCAAAAGUCGAGUCCUGACACUUACUUGAAGAGUUGUGAUAUU